GACCUGAUUUUGUUGCGGAGUAUGUAGUCUCUCCAGCCUUCACCCGAGCAAUGACCGAUGAGACUCCAUCAACAUGGUUUUUUUCGUAGGUUAUUUUGAAUGAUCUACGAUCACAAAAUUCUUGCAGCCCUUUCACCGGGUCAGGCUCGAUGGUUUCGGGGGUGGCAAGAGGUUCCAAUAGCCGCUUCAUGCUUCUCCAAACAACCUCCUUGUCACACUUGCUGUCGAGAUAAAUUGCACCAGCUAUUGAUUCAAUCACAUCCCCGAGAACCUGUUUGUUUGCAAGUAAAGCAAUAGAUCCAGCUUAAGCUAUUCGAUGGAAAAUAUUACAGAAGUGCACAAAAAUAGAAAGAAGCAUGCACUGGAUGCGGAACAUUAUGGAAGGAACAUAUGAGAAGAUGUGCAAAUUAUUGGCGGACACUGGUGACAUGAUAAUUCUGCAGAGUUCAGGUGGCAACUCAACACUAUAUCUAUCACCAGGUUCUGAAACAAGGAAAAAAGAUGACCAAAUCAGUGAUUUAUGCAUAUGUAGCUCUGUAAAGAUAGUACAGGCAGUACAUUAGUUGGACCAUUGUCUAAGAGUUCAGCUAUAACCCACUGUAACAUGCCUCAUUGAUAGCGAUGCAAAAUACACAUGUAUGAUCAAGCCCAGCAAUAUGUGUGGGAUUUAA
This is a non-coding RNA of Oryza sativa Japonica Group (Japanese rice), 671 nucleotides long. The record is from RefSeq and is a predicted model, not a curated record. NCBI's taxonomy places the organism in Eukaryota, Viridiplantae, Streptophyta, Magnoliopsida, Poales, Poaceae.